AUGGUGAGGCACCAUUUCAUCGCCCCCGAAGCUGAUGCUAUUCUCAAUAUCCCGUUGAGGGCUGGAGGAGGAGAUGAUUCCUGGGCAUGGACUGCAGAAAAGUCGGGCAACUACACUAUGAAAUCAGCGUACCAUUCUCUCAUGACCUUGAACGAGCAUUCCGCUCUAAGGGAAGGGACGGUCACGGAAUCUUCAGAGAAACAAAAACAGUUGUGGACAAGACUUUGGAAGCUAAAAGUUGUGCCAAAGGUCAGAGUGUUUUGGUGGCGAGUGCUAAGGGGAAUUCUUCCUACUGAGUGCACCUUGAGACAUCGACACAUUGCUGAUUUGGCACGUUGCAAAGUUUGCCUUGAUGCAGACAAGGAUAUGUAUCAUGCAUUGAUUAAAUGCACUCAUGCUAAGCUCUUCUGGAAGGAGGUGCGGGAAAUUUUAUCUGCCAAGCUUCCUGACCUCCAUACAGAAACUUGGUCGAGGGAUAUUUUGUGUGACCCUAGAUUUGAUGAAGUGGAUCAAGCGAAAGUUAUCAUUGUCAUGUGGGCGAUUUGGACGUCCAGGAAUAAUACAACACAUGAUAAGGCAAGCUUGGAUCAUGUUCACUCUAUGAAGAUGACAAGAGAGGCCUUGUCGCUGCUAGAACUACCCCAACAGCAUGCGAUGAUCUUACCGGGCCAUGGUUGGAGACCACCUGAGGACGACUGUAUAAAGAUUAAUACUGAUGUUGGGAUUUCCAUGGAGGCAAGAAGGUGCGGACUGUAUAAAGAUUAA
Molecule: ribosomal RNA, 765 nt
Filed under: Triticum aestivum (bread wheat)
Lineage: Eukaryota; Viridiplantae; Streptophyta; Magnoliopsida; Poales; Poaceae
Description: partial small subunit ribosomal RNA
Source: RNAcentral